CUGGCUCAGGAUGAACGCUAGCGACAGGCUUAACACAUGCAAGUCGAGGGGCAGCGGGGGCGAAGCUUGCUUCGCCUGCCGGCGACCGGCGCACGGGUGAGUAACACGUAUGCGACCUGCCCCCCGCAGGGGGAUAACCGGGAGAAAUCCCGACUAAUACCGCGUAACGCCGCUGGGCUGCAUGGCCCGGCGGCCAAAGGAAGCGAUUCCGGCGGGGGAUGGGCAUGCGGCGCAUUAGCUAGUCGGCGGGGUAACGGCCCACCGAGGCGACGAUGCGUAGGGGUUCUGAGAGGAAGGUCCCCCACACUGGUACUGAGACACGGACCAGACUCCUACGGGAGGCAGCAGUGAGGAAUAUUGGUCAAUGGGCGGGAGCCUGAACCAGUCAAGUCGCGUGAGGGAAGACGGUCCUACGGAUUGUAAACCUCUUUUGCCGGGGAGCAACGGGGUCCUUGCGAGGGCCCGAUGAGAGUACCCGGAGAAAAAGCAUCGGCUAACUCCGUGCCAGCAGCCGCGGUAAUACGGAGGAUGCGAGCGUUAUCCGGAUUUAUUGGGUUUAAAGGGUGCCGUAGGCGGGCUGUUAAGUCAGCGGUCAAAUGUCGGGGCUCAACCCCGGCCUGCCGUUGAAACUGGCGGCCUCGAGUGGGCGAGAAGUAUGCGGAAUGCGUGGUGUAGCGGUGAAAUGCAUAGAUAUCACGCAGAACUCCGAUUGCGAAGGCAGCAUACCGGCGCCCGACUGACGCUGAGGCACGAAAGCGUGGGUAUCGAACAGGAUUAGAUACCCUGGUAGUCCACGCAGUAAACGAUGAAUGCUAGCUGUCCGGUUCUACGGGACUGGGUGGCACAGCGAAAGCGUUAAGCAUUCCACCUGGGGAGUACGCCGGCAACGGUGAAACUCAAAGGAAUUGACGGGGGCCCGCACAAGCGGAGGAACAUGUGGUUUAAUUCGAUGAUACGCGAGGAACCUUACCCGGGCUCAAACGCCAAAGGACAGCCGCUGAAAGGCGGCCUCCCUCCGGGGUCUUUGGCGAGGUGCUGCAUGGUUGUCGUCAGCUCGUGCCGUGAGGUGUCGGCUUAAGUGCCAUAACGAGCGCAACCCCCAUCGACAGUUGCUAACGGGUGAUGCCGAGGACUCUGUCGAGACUGCCGGCGCAAGCUGCGAGGAAGGCGGGGAUGACGUCAAAUCAGCACGGCCCUUACGUCCGGGGCGACACACGUGUUACAAUGGCCGGUACAGCGGGAUGCCAGGGCGCGAGCCCGAGCGGAACCCGAAAACCGGUCUCAGUUCGGAUUGGAGUCUGCAACCCGACUCCAUGAAGCUGGAUUCGCUAGUAAUCGCGCAUCAGCCACGGCGCGGUGAAUACGUUCCCGGGCCUUGCACUCACCGCCCGUCA
This 1394-nucleotide ribosomal RNA is filed under the name uncultured bacterium. RNAcentral describes it as "16S ribosomal RNA". It matches the Rfam family "Bacterial small subunit ribosomal RNA". The record is from RNAcentral.